UUGUGUUCAUCUACAACUAAAAAUUUAAAAAGAUUGUUUUACUCUAUAAGUAUACAAAAGUGUGAUUUCUUAUAUAGAGUAUAUAUUUAUACACUGUAUUGUAUUUUUAAAUAUCAAAAAGUUAUAAUUAUUUUCUGGAAAAAAAUUUCAAAAUUGUCUCAACAUGCUGAAGAAAACCUAAGUAAACAAUAAAUGAAGGAAAAAUUAAGACAGUUAAAAGAUAUCCCUUCUAAAAACUUACAUUUAGAAUCUGAUUUUUUAUGAGAAAAAAACUUAACUACAUCUUUUCUAACAUUCUACAAGACUAACCUAAAACUGAUUAUAAAACUAGAUAAGAGGGCCCACAAAAACAAAAUGUAGACUUUCCUUAUGAAGAUAAAUCUAGUAAUUAAAACUUCUAGUAAAUUGUAUCCAGUGGUUUAUUUAACUAAAUAUAGAACAGUAAAUCAUGUAUGGAAUAUCUUGGGCCUGAUUCAUCCUACCUUAAUUAUACAUUGCAGGCAUUCUACCUUCAGUAGAAUUCUACCUUUACUUUUAUCACAGUAAAAAAUCCAGCCCUAGUACCUUAAUUCUUUGGGGGUUUUUCUAGCUGUCUAUAUGAAGAAUAGAAUGAAUUCUGUGUUUGCAAAAUUACAAC
This 637-nucleotide long non-coding RNA is filed under the name Marmota monax (woodchuck). The record is from RNAcentral. Lineage: Eukaryota; Metazoa; Chordata; Mammalia; Rodentia; Sciuridae.